AGCCGUCUGGGAGUUGUCCCCGCCUGCUCUGAGGAACUCUCGGCGGGACACCAGCCACUGGCGCGGCUCUCGGUCGUAGUCGCUGCACGCAGGGGACGUGGGGCACGUCUCUACCUGCGGCGCGCAGUGCAAUGCAUCUGGCCAGGUUCGGGGACGGGUUAUCUGAAGCCUGAGGAUCAGGGUGCACUUGAAGACGCGUCUCUUUACAGCGCCGACAAAGCUUAAGUGCAGCCGAGAGAGGAACCGAAAAGACAGUUUACCAAAGCCUCACGACAGCGUUCCAUGAAAAGGAAAGCGCAUAGGGACCCUCCAAGGGCGCGCGCGCGCGCGCGCGCACACACACACACACACACACACACACACACACACACACACACGCAAACACACUCGCACACUCCAGCACUUCCUCCACAGGGUCUCCGAGAGGCCAAAUAAUGCUUCUAGCGACAGGCAGCCGACCCCUAGCGGAUCUAACUUCCAGCCAGAAGACUCUGACCCCGUCGCCAACUCAGUCCGCCGCGGGGGUGUCGGGGUUUGAGCGGUGUGGGAAAGUUAGAAGGAGCGGCUUCUGAAGUACUGUCUAGUAGCCCCGCCAGAGUCCCCGCACCGUGUCUGCCAACCUCAGCGUCCGCUCCAGCCAAGCAGAUCCUUCAGAAACCGAUCUCAGAGUUGCAAAGGCUUUACAACUCCUACCCGGCACGGAAAGGAGACCCCAAGCGCGAUCCCAAGCGUCUACAAACCCGAGAACAGCUUUCGGCCUGCACUCGACCUCUCCCUCUGGCUUGGCUUACUUUUUAAACCACCUCCACCCCCACCGCCACCCCCGCGCGCGCCACUUCCUUCCCCCACCCCUUUCCUCCUUUUGCACCAGCUACAGAAUCGCGGCUAAGAUUCCUCCAAGAAAUUCACCAACACAACUCGGGUGGGGUUGGGGGGGGGGGUGACCUGACUAUCCUAAGAUGCCUGGCCUGUUCUAACCUCGGAAGCGCAACUCUUGUUCCAACAGGUCUUUGCACGGGGUCCAUCCGAGGACCGGAGUCCCAGGACUCCCCCGCUCCAGAGCCCGCUCCACCCCGCCUCUUUGCCUCACUUAGGAACUCGACGUGUCCAGCUGGUUUUCAACCUAACCUCUCCCCCCCCCCCGCACCGGCCCCAGUUUUCGAGGCGGGGGGCACUUUCGGGAAACCUUUGAGAAAGAAGUGUAAAGGAUGGAGAGUCACGUCCUUCCUGGCGGCGGUGGCUGCCCAGCGCCAUCCCACACUGCUGCCCUGGGUGCAGAGACCGCGGGCGCCCCUGAGCGACAGUCCGCUCUCACCACCAUCAGCGCAGCUUUCUGAGACGAUUUCUCUAUUCCCCGACCAGCGUCGCCGCUGGGAAUAACUGGGAAAGCGCUGGAAAGGGCAAAGGGCUUAUUGUUGAUUUGUUUAUUUGCUUUUAAGGGGGAAAGAGAUGGCGAUAUGCUAGCGACUGGCGCACGCGGAGCGAGGGCACCGUGGAACCGCCGACGCUCAGGAUCCCCGGACAAUCCUGUGCCUUUGGCGGUGUGUGGAGCGCUCUCGACGUUAAAGCCCAGUAAAUAGACGAAGGACUUGUUUCAAUUUCAACUUCACAAGGAUCCCUUUCUAAUCACUCCUUUCUUCCCUGAUUUUUUUUAAUUAAAAAAUACAGAUCAAAGUAAA
RNAcentral lists this long non-coding RNA (1679 nucleotides) under Mus musculus (house mouse). Its description in RNAcentral is "predicted gene 15222, transcript variant 3 (Gm15222)". The record is from RNAcentral. Lineage: Eukaryota; Metazoa; Chordata; Mammalia; Rodentia; Muridae.